AUCACUUCUUUGACUUUUGGCUAAGAUCAAGUGUAUUAUCUGUUCUUAUCAGUUUAAAAAAUUUUACUUAUUUAUUUUAGAAAAAGGGAGAGGAUUUGUUGUUCCACUUACUCAUGUGUUCAUCGGUUGCUUCUUAGAUGUGGCCCUGCUGGGGAUCAAACCUGAAACCUUGGCAUAUUGGGCCAACACUCC
Phyllostomus discolor (pale spear-nosed bat) is the source of this 192-nucleotide small nuclear RNA. RefSeq annotates it as U2 spliceosomal RNA. Lineage: Eukaryota; Metazoa; Chordata; Mammalia; Chiroptera; Phyllostomidae. The transcript has a single exon. The record is from RefSeq and is a predicted model, not a curated record.